Long non-coding RNA from Anguilla anguilla (European eel), 961 nucleotides. RefSeq lists it as uncharacterized. The transcript has 2 exons. The record is from RefSeq and is a predicted model, not a curated record. NCBI's taxonomy places the organism in Eukaryota, Metazoa, Chordata, Actinopteri, Anguilliformes, Anguillidae.
ACAAUUUAAGGUGGUUCAUUUUUGGAGUGGAUUUAGAUCUAACACUGGCUGGGCAUUCUGCUGCUUUCCAGGGCAAAACCACAUUCAGGUGCCCUGCCCUUAAUGAUGGAAACACAUCAUGUGAUGCAGAGCUGCCCUAUCAUGUGGUGCGCAAGUUCGCCCUGCUGACCCCUGAGGAGCAAUGCUACUUUGAAGAGACUCUCGGAGAUAUGGCUUGCACAGGCUAUAGCACUUGUCCAGGCUGCAAGAUAUUUGUAGAAAGAGAAGACACCCGCAAUUUGAGUGUGGAAUGCAGGAUUUGCACCAGCAGGAUGGGAAGAACGUAUGAGUUUUGCUGGCAGUGCUUAAAGGAGUGGAAAGGGAAGAGACCCCGUGCUAAUCGAUGUGACAACGAUGGCUGUAUUGACAAGCGCCUUGAUCUCAUACGGACAUGCAAAUAUAUUUUCUUUGAGAGUAUAAAAGAGGUGCGGGACUGUCCCUCUGUGCGGGCCUGUCCCACUUGUGGCAAACUGAUAGAACACAACGGGGAAAUGUGUAAAAACAUAAUUUGUGACGGAUGCCAUGUUGAGUUCUGUUUUGUCUGCCUGAGGCUCACUGCUGAUUGUGCAAAGAAAGACAGCAACUACUAUGGCCGCUGCUCAGUUGGCACGGCACCAAGGCAGACAUCCAUACCUGUCUGGAAGCGCUAGCUGAGUUCUCUGAAUCAACAAUAGUGAUGUUUGUGAGGGGAGAGACAUUUAGAGGAACAUCCUGAUUGUUCAAUGCAUGUAACGUGACAUUUUUUUAAUUCUGAAAACUGCUUGUACAGGAACAGAAAAUGUAUCUAAAAAAAUAUAUAGCAUGUAUUACCAAAAGUAUCUAUCUGGCAAUCGGUGUAAUCAAAAUAAGUAUAUCUAUAAUGGAAUUAAUGUCACAUAAUUAUGUGUCAGUAAAUAAAUAAACUUCAGUGUAAACUUGUUUC